AUGGCGGCAUCUAUGGCGGCGGCGGCCUCUGCCACCUCCGGCAACGCGGGCUCCGGUGAGGUCUCAGCCGGCGGCGAGAAUCGCGCGGCCGCUUCCUCGGCCGCGGCCUCAGCCUCGUCGCCCGCGGCGGGCGGCGGCGAGGCGCUGGAGCUGCUGGAACGCUGCGGGGCGUGCCGGGAGCGCCUGCGUCCGGAGCGCGAGCCGCGCCUGCUGCCUUGCCUGCACUCGGCCUGCAGCGGCUGCCUCGCGUCCGCCGCGGCCAACAGCUCGGGGGACGGCGGCGCGGCCGGCGACGGCGCGGUGGUGGACUGCCCUGUGUGCAAGCAGCAGUGCUGCUUCAAAGACAUCGUGGAGAACUACUUCGUCCGCGACAGUGGCAACAAGGCUGCCUCAGACGCCCAGGAGGCGAACCAGUGCUGCACUAGUUGCGAAGAUAACGCCCCAGCCACCAGCUACUGCGUCGAGUGCUCCGAGCCACUGUGCGAGACCUGCGUGGACGCUCAUCAGCGGGUGAAGUACACCAAGGACCACACAGUGCGCCCCACCGGGCCGGCCAAGUCCCGGGAUGGGGAGCGCACGGUCUACUGCAACGUGCACAAGCGGGAGCCUCUCGUGCUGUUCUGCGAGAGCUGCGACACCCUUACCUGUCGGGACUGCCAGCUCAGCGCCCACAAGGACCACCAGUACCAGUUCCUGGAAGAUGCCGUGAGGAACCAGCGAAAGCUCCUGGCCGCACUGGUGAAACGCCUUGGGGACAAACAUGCCACACUGCAGAAGAGCACCAAGGAGGUGCGAAGCUCCAUCCGCCAGGUGUCCGAUGUGCAGAAACGGGUGCAGGUGGAUGUCAAGAUGGCCAUCUUGCAGAUCAUGAAGGAACUGAACAAGCGGGGCCGCGUGCUGGUCAGUGAUGCCCAGAAGUUGACAGAGGGCCAGCAAGAACGCCUGGAACGGCAGCACUGGUCCAUGACCAAGAUCCAGAAGCAUCAGGAGCACAUCUUGCGCUUUGCCUCCUGGGCGCUGGAGAGUGACAACAACACGGCCCUGCUGCUGUCUAAGAAGCUCAUCUACUUCCAGCUGCAGCGAGCCCUGAAGAUGAUCGUAGAGCCCGUGGAGCCCCACGGGGAGAUGAAGUUCCAGUGGGACCUCAGUGCCUGGACCAAGAGUGCUGAGGCCUUCGGCAAGAUUGUGGCUGAGCGGCCUGGUACCAACUCCACUGGCCCUGCACUCAUGGCCCCCCCAAGAGCCUUGGGACCCCUGAGCAAGCAGAGCUGUAGCAGCAGCCAGCCCAUGGAGGUCCAGGAAGGCUAUGGUUUCGAGUCAGAUGACCCCUACUCCAGUGCAGAGCCCCAUGUGUCUGGCAUGAAGCGUUCCUCCUCUGGUGAGGGUGAGGUGAGUGGCCGCAUGCGCAAGGUGCCACGGGUGAGCCUUGAACGCCUGGACCUGGACCUUACAGCCGACAGCCAGCCACCAGUCUUCAAGGUCUUUCCAGGCAGCACCACCGAGGACUACAACCUCAUUGUGAUUGAGCGUGGUGCUGCUGCCGCGGCUGCUGGUCAGCCAGGGACUGCACUCCCAGGAGCACCCGGUGCUCCACCUCUUGCCAGCAUGGCCGUUGUUAAGGAGGAGGAGACGGAGGCAGCCAUUGAAGCCCCUCCUGCAGCUGCUGUAGAGGGCCCUGAGACCAAACCUGUGCUCAUGGCUCUGGCUGAGGGCCCUGCCACUGAGGGCCCCCGCCUGGCCUCACCUAGUGGCAGCACUAGCUCAGGCCUGGAGGUGGUGGCUCCUGAGGGUUCCUCAGCGCCAGUUGGUGACCCAGGCACCUUGGAUGACAGUGCCACCAUUUGCCGUGUCUGCCAAAAGCCAGGUGACCUGGUCAUGUGCAACCAGUGCGAGUUUUGCUUCCACCUGGACUGCCACCUGCCUGCUCUGCAGGAUGUGCCAGGGGAAGAGUGGAGCUGCUCACUCUGCCAAGUGCCCCCUGACCUGAAGGAGGAGGAUGGCACUCUUAGCAUGGAUGGCACAGACAGUGCCGGCAUGGUGGUCAAGCUCUCGCCAGUCAACCAGCAGAAAUGUGAACGUGUCCUGCUGGCCCUCUUCUGCCAUGAACCCUGCCGCCCCCUGCACCAGCUGGCUACCGACGCUCCCCUCUCCAUGGAGCAGCCAGGGGGUACCCUGGACCUGACGCUGAUCCGCGCCCGCCUCCAAGAAAAGCUGUCACCCCCUUACCGCUCCCCCCAGGAGUUUGCUGAGGAUGUAGGCCGCAUGUUCAAGCAGUUUAACAAACUGACCGAGGACAAGGCGGAUGUGCAGUCUAUCAUCGGUCUGCAGCGCUUCUUCGAGUCCCGCAUGAAUGAGGCCUUCGGUGACACCAAGUUCUCCGCUGUGCUGGUGGAGCCGCCACCACUGAGUCUGCCCAGCGCUGGUCCAAGUUCCCAGGAGCUGUCUGGUGGUCCUGGUGAUGGUCCCUGAGGCUGGGGCUCUUAUGGCCACCCUGGCCUGGCUCUGCUCUGUAUCCUGUCACCCUGUCCCUAACUCCCUGGUAGCCUGACUCCCACUCCCUGGUUGCCCUAUCCCAUAUUCCCUCACGAAAUGGUUUUUACUUCUGUGGAUUUAAUAAAAAUCUCACCAGUU
Molecule: RNA transcript, 2631 nt
Organism: Octodon degus (degu)
Lineage: Eukaryota; Metazoa; Chordata; Mammalia; Rodentia; Octodontidae
Gene name: transcription intermediary factor 1-beta pseudogene
Exons: 1
Source: RefSeq, a predicted model, not a curated record